GUCCCGCCUGCCCCCCGGCGGUGCCGCUGCCCGCGCUGGCUCAGCCUGGGGCCGCGGUUCCCCGGUUCUGGAGUUCGCUGGCGCAGGUCCGUUCCCGAGCCCGGGCGUUAGUCAAGACGAGCCCUUGCCUCCCCUCCAUCCCUCCGGUGUCCCUUGGCAGCUCCUGACCAGCACUGCAGACCGGGUCUCUGCCUCAGUCUCUGGGCCCCUGUUAGGAGAAUCUCAUUCCCCAACUGUUGUACCAAUUAGUCUUUAUAGUAUGAAAUUGUAUAAAGUAUCUUAAUAGUCUGAAAUCAUAUAUUUCAUAAGAGGAGUGUGUUUUACUUCGUAUACUGCAUAGUCAUGGCUAAGUCAGCAUAUCUAAAGGGCCCCAGCUCACUGCAAGGAGGACGGUCCCCACCUUAAAGAAACAGUCAUGUUCUUGGAAUCUUAAAGUCAUCCACAAAGAAGAAGGGAUACUCCUAGACUACUAAGGAACUGGACAUUGUCUGGAAAGAGAAUGAAGCAUGUUCCAGGUAAACCAGAAAACAGCACUGCCUCGAGAGCAACUUAUGUAUGUCCCUAGGAACAGCCGGAGAACUGCAGUCUUAAGUUUCAAACUGCUGCCAAAAUCUAGAUGCUCACACUUGAAAAUGUUUGCAUGUGUGUCCAGCAGGGUGAGGGUAAGUGUCCUUUCAUGUGUAUUGGCCCAUGUUCUUUUGGCUGUAGCUAUGUACAUGUGAUGCCAUGGGUGUUUUUCUCUCUGUUACAGUUUUCAGGUUGGUAGAUUUUGCACAGGCAUCCACCUCAAGCAUCUUCUGAAUGGUACUGGCCAUAUGUGCUUCCUAAUUGAGAGUGUACCCAAUUCCAGUCUGAGGAGCUAUGCUGGUUAUGUGCUUGAUUGCUGCGACAGUGAGCCAGGGGAGAAAAAGUCUGGGUAGAGACUUUCUUAGAUUGCUGUGCAUAAUUUGAGAGAGUCAUGGUGAGUCACUGAAGAGUUUGACAACACUAAGAAAAUGUUUGUAGCAUAAUUCAACGAAGAAGAUACAGAUACGUAGUAAAAAUAUAUUUAGACUUAUCUGAAAAUUUCAUCUGUGUGAAUAAAAUAUCAUUUUGUUUAAUGUGCUUAUAUCCAGUAUUUCAGAUAUCAGAUUCCUAUUCAUUAGGAUUACUUCUGACUGAAAAAAAUACAUUAUCUCAACACUAUAAAAAUAAACGAACAAGCCCUAUUGUGUUCUUCUAACCUUAUGCUGCUUGUGUACUGAUGUAGAGAACAGUAGUUAUGCAACAGAAUUACAGUAGCAGAGUUCUCCAUAUUACGAACAUCAUAGCUUCUGAAAGGGUAAUAAGAGAGGAAAACUGAUAUCUGCAUCUCUUCCAUGAAGAUGACUGAGGUUACUGAGGGACAAUGACUUUUUUUCAGAUUCUCCUUUAAAUCAAGAAUCAUAAUAAAGUUCAAUUUUGUGGACUGACUGUCUUUCUUUAAUUCAUUCUUCAACUUGUAUAUCUGUUUACAGAUCUGUAACUUUAACUUCUUAAAAUAAACAGCAUUUUUGAUUUAAAAAAAUUGUUUAGUUGCAAAAGAUUGUCCUUGUGGUAUUCAUUCAG
Long non-coding RNA from Columba livia (rock pigeon), 1587 nucleotides. RefSeq lists it as uncharacterized. The transcript is spliced from 3 exons. The record is from RefSeq and is a predicted model, not a curated record. NCBI's taxonomy places the organism in Eukaryota, Metazoa, Chordata, Aves, Columbiformes, Columbidae.